Long non-coding RNA from Struthio camelus australis, 719 nucleotides. RefSeq lists it as uncharacterized. NCBI's taxonomy places the organism in Eukaryota, Metazoa, Chordata, Aves, Struthioniformes, Struthionidae. The record is from RefSeq and is a predicted model, not a curated record.
UAAGUCUCUAGAGUAUUGGAUCUGAGACCUACAAUAAAAUACUUCAGCAACUGUACUUUGGUUGAUGCAGUUUCUCCUAAUAAACAAGACAGCUAAAAACUUGGAGAGUUAGUUCCAUGCUCACUUUGGUUACUGACUGGCAAUGCACCCACAAGCAGAAUGCUAGAUGUAUGCACCACUGAGGAAUUAGAGAAAGAGCACAUCUUGGGACACAGGAACAGCCAUGACUGGUAUACGACCUCGGCUCUUUGAGAAAGACGGGAGUGGUUCCAGAGCGCUCACAAGUUAGGCGACAAUCGUCUUCCAGAAGUUUCCAGUUUUAAGUCUCGGGGAUUGAAGCUUCUCAACAACAUCUUUUAAAAGAGCAGGAGGAAAACAGGAAGGCAACAGGCAAUAAUGAAAAAAGCCCUGUGGUGCUGGAGGGAUGGAACAUGUCUUUGGUGCAGACUGGUGCCUGCGCAGGCAACUGCUGCGUUCGCCUUGGUGGGAGAAGAUGUGCAUUUAAGUGCCUUCAGACUCAGAAGGAAUCCUCGGUUUGGUGUCUCCAGUUCCCAGGGAUGUUUCGCCACUAGGCCAGUAUAGAGAAGUGCUGACACCAUCAUCAUCUCUGCUUGGAAAGAGAAAAGGGAGCCCAUCACUCCUUUGCCAAAGGGGAAUUUAGUUGCCCAAGUGCAAGAGUGGGAUUGGGACAGGAAAUGCCAGCACCACGUGCAUAUAAA